Long non-coding RNA from Grammomys surdaster, 226 nucleotides. RefSeq lists it as uncharacterized. The record is from RefSeq and is a predicted model, not a curated record. The transcript has 3 exons. NCBI's taxonomy places the organism in Eukaryota, Metazoa, Chordata, Mammalia, Rodentia, Muridae.
CGAAGUGCUUACUGACAGCAGCCCAGUAUAGCUGCCCCUGAAAGGCUCUGCCAGAGCCCGACCAAUACAUAUGCAGAGGGACUCACAGUUAAGAAAUCUGUGUGGCAGUGGGCUGUGAGAAGCAGCUGUGUACCUGGUCGAGCAAAAGUCUUGAAUCCUGGACCCUUAUCGGAUGGACCAUCCCUAAGCCUAUCUGGGUCCCUGCCAGAAAUGUUUGACACCACCC